CAUGCCCUCGGCCUGGGCAAGGCGUCCGAAAAUGGAUUAUUUUCUGUCGUUACCUACUGCAGAGGAAAAGUUUCUUUUCUUCCCCACAAAUGCUAGGGCCACCGUGACCUUCCUCAUCUUAAUUUGCUCCUUGAUCUUUUGGAUGUUAAGAAGAAUCUCAAGGACUGCAGGUAAGACAAAAGCACCGCCAGAAGCUGGAGGAGCAUGGCCCCUAAUUGGCCACCUUCACCUCCUAGGAGGGCCUCAACCCCCCG
RNAcentral lists this unclassified non-coding RNA (254 nucleotides) under Hevea brasiliensis (rubber tree). The record is from RNAcentral. Lineage: Eukaryota; Viridiplantae; Streptophyta; Magnoliopsida; Malpighiales; Euphorbiaceae.